RNAcentral lists this ribosomal RNA (180 nucleotides) under uncultured Glomeromycotina. RNAcentral's name for it is "partial small subunit ribosomal RNA". Lineage: Eukaryota; Fungi; Glomeromycota. The record is from RNAcentral.
GGGUCAGUAGAUUGGUCGUGCCACUGGUAUGUACUGGUCUUACUGGCUCCUCCUUCCUGAUGAACCGUAAUGCCAUUAAUUUGGUGUUGCGGGGAGACUGGACUGUUACUUUGAAAAAAUUAGAGUGUUCAAAGCAGGCAUAUGCUCGAAUACAUUAGCAUGGAAUAAUAGAAUAGGACG